AAACGUCUACAAAACCUGUACACCAGUUCCUGUGUUCAAACGUGCUCGCUCCACACAAGCACCGAGCAAUCGCGUGACACACGUGAAACGACGAUCUUACUACCAUCGUCGUUUCUUUCAUUCAGACAUCGGUUCGAUGUGAUUGGGCCUGAAGGAUCUCAAACAUCUGUAUCCUGCAGGAGACUGUGAAUGAUCUGAGAACGGCCUCGACGACUUUCACUUCGAUUCUGCUAGAAGUGGAACGGACGCAACAAGUGGUUUCACAUGUACAGAUAUAUUAGCCUUCGAUUUCCUAUAUUUUCAGUCACGUUAUUGCUUUCGGAUAUUAUUUCUGUUCAUUUUUGCGCGCUAGAAUCAACAAGAACUGCAAAAAUUCCUUCGCUUGUUUGCAAGAAGCGAGAAGACGAGUCUAGAAAUCCACUAAUUUUCGACUGGCGCGUACGAUUCACGGUCGAGAACCUCAGGUGUACCCAGUUCGGUUAUUCGAGGCGUGGGCGAUCCAGAACGAGUGGCAGCACGCAAAAAGAAAGGAAGAACUCUGGAUGGGCUAAAGGAUAUCAAUCGCACGGCACCGAAACCCCGACGGCGUUCGUCGGUGCACGUCACGUGCAAUUAAGCAUCUAUAAAGCUAAAUUAUUUAUUCAUUACCGGUGUUUUGCAACGAACCAGAAGAUUUGUAUCUGUCAUCGUGCGAUGCGUUGAAAUUUUAUUAUUAUUUGAGCGUUUCAUUUUAUUUUACUCUUUAACAGUAUAUUUCAUGUUAGUUUUAUCUGUUAGUUAGUCUAAUGACAAACAGUAAUGUAAAAGUUUAAUUAAUAUUUGUAUUCGAUUUGAACUUAAAUUGUACGCACAGGGAGAAUAAUAUUAUCUUAAAAAACAUCUAAUAGAAAAGCUCA
This is a long non-coding RNA of Bombus terrestris (buff-tailed bumblebee), 896 nucleotides long. RefSeq lists it as uncharacterized. Lineage: Eukaryota; Metazoa; Arthropoda; Insecta; Hymenoptera; Apidae. The record is from RefSeq and is a predicted model, not a curated record. The transcript has 3 exons.